AGUGAACGCUGGCGGCAGGCCUAACACAUGCAAGUCGAACGGCAGCACAAGAGAGCUUGCUCUCUGGGUGGCGAGUGGCGGACGGGUGAGGAAUGCAUCGGAAUCUGCCCAUUUGUGGGGGAUAACCUCGGGAAACCGGGACUAAUACCGCAUACGACCUACGGGUGAAAGCAGGGGAUCUUCGGACCUUGCGCAGAUGGAUGAGCCGAUGCCGGGUUAGCUAGUUGGAGGGGUAAAGGCCCACCAAGGCGACGAUCCGUAGCUGGUCUGAGAGGAUGAUGGGCCACACUGGGACUGAGACACGGCCCAGACUCCUACGGGAGGCAGCAGUGGGGAAUAUUGGACAAUGGGCGCAAGCCUGAUCCAGCCAUGCCGCGUGUGUGAAGAAGGCCUUCGGGUUGUAAAGCACUUUUGUUGGGAAAGAAAAGCAGCCGGUUAAUACCCGGUUGUCAUGACGGUACCCAAAGAAUAAGCACCGGCUAACUUCGUG
Molecule: ribosomal RNA, 490 nt
Filed under: uncultured bacterium
Lineage: Bacteria
Description: partial 16S ribosomal RNA
Rfam family: Bacterial small subunit ribosomal RNA
Source: RNAcentral